AGAGGAUGUCAGGAUCUUUAGCUAGGCAAGAGGUAUUUGUACCAGAGAAAAAGGCUUUGUGAAGGAGGAAACACGUAUGUGGCUACAGAUAAGAAAGACAAGUGGUUGAAAGAAGGAAAAAAGCAAUUAUGUUAUAUGCCUAGAGGAGAAUAAGCUCUUUCUACUUAACUUCAUCUCCGGAUGCACAUUACUUGUGGGAUGGCUGACUAUCAGAAUGAACACAUUUCUCUUCCAGCUUUGUGAAUCCAUCGAAACGAUGCCUGAAGGUGAAGAAACUCUCAAUCUGGAAUGUACUAAUUCCUCACUUUUGCUUCAAGAGCUUCUCCACUUACGUGCUGUGGAUAUCCCUGGGCAAGUCAUUUAAGUCUUCAAUGCUCCUGUUUGCUUGUUUUAAGGAUAGAAAUAAUAAUAGUAC
RNAcentral lists this long non-coding RNA (415 nucleotides) under Macaca nemestrina (pig-tailed macaque). RNAcentral's name for it is "lncRNA (ENSMNEG00000046002.1)". The record is from RNAcentral. Lineage: Eukaryota; Metazoa; Chordata; Mammalia; Primates; Cercopithecidae.